This 509-nucleotide long non-coding RNA is filed under the name Homo sapiens (human). RNAcentral's name for it is "HSALNT0131875". Lineage: Eukaryota; Metazoa; Chordata; Mammalia; Primates; Hominidae. The record is from RNAcentral.
AUGCUCGGGGGAGGUGGGAGGGGUGGCUUGUGCUGUCCCGUAUCCCCUGGAGAGAGUUAUGUAAGCAUGUCAGUCGGUCUCUGUGGAAAAGCCCGGACAUCCAGAUGACACCGAGCAGUUUCAGGACAUAGAAAACCCUCUGAGGCUCCAGAGAGGUGAAACAUGGAAAUGCCUCUAAGCAGUGACUCCAUGACACAGGGGGCCGAACGAGGGGAUUAGCACCCAGGCUGCAUGGCAGGCGGCAGCCCCUUCCCACUCCCAACGCCUUCCACUGCUCCUCUCUGUCCCGAGGGGAUUAGAACCCAGGCUGCGUGGCAGGCGGCAGCCCCUUCCCACUCCCAACGCCUUCCACUGCUCCUCUCUGUCCCGAGGGGAUUAGAACCCAGGCUGCGUGGCAGGCGGCAGCCCCUUCCCACUCCUAAUGCCUUCCACUGCUCCUCUCUGUCCCGAGGGGAUUAGAACCCAGGCUGCGUGGCAGGUCACAGCCCCUUCCCACUCCCAACGCCUUC